Non-coding RNA from Pelobates cultripes (western spadefoot toad), 315 nucleotides. Lineage: Eukaryota; Metazoa; Chordata; Amphibia; Anura; Pelobatidae. The record is from the annotation of a GenBank genome assembly.
CGCAAACUCAGUCAUGUAGCCAAUUAAACAUCACAUUGAUGUCUGACAAAUGCCAAUUAAAUCUUAAAUGUGAUAGGUUAAAAAAAGUUGUAUAUCCAGAUCUUAAUCUACAUUAAUAUGUGGGUCUAUCCUUAUAAGAAAAUAGAAAAUGUAGAAAAACGUUAGACACAAUCACCUAUUUUUAUGUCAACUAAGGGUGCUCAUACCCCGGGGCUUGCUUCAACAUGCCACCAGUUCCAAAAAAAAAAAAAUAGUCCAACGAUAAUCUCACAACGACCUUUACUGGAAAAACAAUCAAUUUUAUUGCAAUCUGGA